GCGGCAGCUUACACAUGCAGUCGAGCGGGCGAAGGGGGCUUGCGCCUUAACCUAGCGGCGGACGGGUGAGUAAUGCUUAGGAAUCUGCCUAUUAGUGGGGGACAACAUUCCGAAAGGGAUGCUAAUACCGCAUACGCCCUACGGGGGAAAGCAGGGGAUCUUCGGACCUUGCGCUAAUAGAUGAGCCUAAGUCGGAUUAGCUAGUUGGUGGGGUAAAGGCCUACCAAGGCGACGAUCUGUAGCGGGUCUGAGAGGAUGAUCCGCCACACUGGGACUGAGACACGGCCCAGACUCCUACGGGAGGCAGCAGUGGGGAAUAUUGGACAAUGGGGGGAACCCUGAUCCAGCCAUGCCGCGUGUGUGAAGAAGGCCUUUUGGUUGUAAAGCACUUUAAGCGAGGAGGAGGCGCUCUAGGAUAAUACCCUAGAUGCGUGGACGUUACUCGCAGAAUAAGCACCGGCUAACUCUGUGCCAGCAGCCGCGGUAAUACAGAGGGUGCGAGCGUUAAUCGGAUUUACUGGGCGUAAAGCGCGCGUAGGUGGCUAAUUAAGUCAAAUGUGAAAUCCCCGAGCUUAACUUGGGAAUUGCAUUCGAUACUGGUUAGCUAGAGUAUGGGAGAGGAUGGUAGAAUUCCAGGUGUAGCGGUGAAAUGCGUAGAGAUCUGGAGGAAUACCGAUGGCGAAGGCAGCCAUCUGGCCUAAUACUGACACUGAGGUGCGAAAGCAUGGGGAGCAAACAGGAUUAGAUACCCUGGUAGUCCAUGCCGUAAACGAUGUCUACUAGCCGUUGGGGCCUUUGAGGCUUUAGUGGCGCAGCUAACGCGAUAAGUAGACCGCCUGGGGAGUACGGUCGCAAGACUAAAACUCAAAUGAAUUGACGGGGGCCCGCACAAGCGGUGGAGCAUGUGGUUUAAUUCGAUGCAACGCGAAGAACCUUACCUGGCCUUGACAUACAGAGAACUUUCCAGAGAUGGAUUGGUGCCUUCGGGAACUCUGAUACAGGUGCUGCAUGGCUGUCGUCAGCUCGUGUCGUGAGAUGUUGGGUUAAGUCCCGCAACGAGCGCAACCCUUUUCCUUACUUGCCAGCAUUUCGGAUGGGAACUUUAAGGAUACUGCCAGUGACAAACUGGAGGAAGGGGGGGA
This 1142-nucleotide ribosomal RNA is filed under the name Acinetobacter baumannii. RNAcentral's name for it is "bacterial SSU rRNA". It matches the Rfam family "Bacterial small subunit ribosomal RNA", at positions 39 to 1179 of the family's 1533-position model. Lineage: Bacteria; Pseudomonadati; Pseudomonadota; Gammaproteobacteria; Moraxellales; Moraxellaceae. The record is from RNAcentral.